This is a long non-coding RNA of Gopherus flavomarginatus (Mexican gopher tortoise), 583 nucleotides long. RefSeq lists it as uncharacterized. NCBI's taxonomy places the organism in Eukaryota, Metazoa, Chordata, Testudines, Testudinidae. The transcript has 2 exons. The record is from RefSeq and is a predicted model, not a curated record.
AUAAAUGUGAGAAGGGAGGGACAGGCAGUAGAAACAAAAGUGAAACUGUUUGAGCAGUAUAUUCCAGAAGUCUUGAGGUCUUUCUGAGUGAAGCCUUCAUUGAUUUGAGAUCUACCAUACCAUUCUCCCACUAGGAGGGAAAACCUAUAAUAGCAGCAGGCUGUAAGAGAGACCCAGUUUGGGAAUAUUUUAAUGAAGUUCCUCCACCUGUGGGUAAGACAGGCAUGCAUGCAAAAUGCAAACAGUGCAACAAAGAAAUGCAAGGCCUGGUUGCCUAACUGAAACAACAUCAUGAGAAGUGUUCCUUCUCAGGUGGAAGCUGCACUGAAGGUGAUGAAAGAAACAUGUCUGAACAUGCAGGAUCUUCAGAUUGGAGAAUCCAUCCUCAACAUACAGGAUUCUGAAGACUAUCCACCUUCACGAUCACCAUCUUUUUCUAUAGUUUCAGAGUUAUGUGCCAAUGAUAGUGUUUCAGUCACAUCAUAUAUGUCACAGAAUAUCACAGCAGCAAAAAGAAAAAAAAACUCCAUCCAGAAACCACCAUAGAUAAGUUUGUGAUAAGAACUAGCAUAUUACAAAGAGA